RNAcentral lists this ribosomal RNA (660 nucleotides) under uncultured archaeon. RNAcentral describes it as "bacterial SSU rRNA". It matches the Rfam family "Archaeal small subunit ribosomal RNA", at positions 325 to 986 of the family's 1478-position model. The record is from RNAcentral.
ACGGGGUGCAGCAGGCGCGAAAACUUCACAAUGUGCGAAAGCACGAUGAGGGAAUCCCAAGUGCUUGCACGUAAGUGUAAGCUGUUUCUAUGUUUAAAACGCAUGGAGAGUAAGGGCUGGGUAAGACGGGUGCCAGCCGCCGCGGUAAUACCUGCAGCUCGAGUGGUGGCCGCUAUUAUUGGGCCUAAAACGUCCGUAGCCGGCUUAAUAAAUGCCUGGGUAAAUCGUGUAGCUUAACUAUACGAAUUCUGGGUAGACUGUUAAGCUUGAGAUCGGGAGAAGUUAGAGGUACUCCUGGGGUAGAGGUGAAAUUCUGUAAUCCUAGGGGGACCACCAGUGGCGAAGGCGUCUAACUAGAACGAGUCUGACGGUGAGGGACGAAGCCCUGGGUCGCAAACCGGAUUAGAUACCCGGGUAGUCCAGGGUGUAAACGCUGCUUGCUUGAUGUUAGUCGGGCUCCGAGCCCGAUUAGUGUCGGAGAGAAGUUGUUAAGCAAGCUGCCUGGGAAGUACGGUCGCAAGGCUGAAACUUAAAGGAAUUGGCGGGGGAGCACAGCAACGGGUGGAGCGUGCGGUUUAAUUGGAUUCAACGCCGGAAAACUCACCGGAGGCGACGGUUACAUGAAGGCCAGGCUGAUGACCUUGCCAGAUUUUCCGAGAG